This is a long non-coding RNA of Talpa occidentalis (Iberian mole), 1609 nucleotides long. RefSeq lists it as uncharacterized. The transcript has 13 exons. Lineage: Eukaryota; Metazoa; Chordata; Mammalia; Eulipotyphla; Talpidae. The record is from RefSeq and is a predicted model, not a curated record.
CAGUGAACAGGAGUAGUUCAUCUAUGAGAACACACUAGAAACAAAUGACAUCUAGGAUCCAGAAAGGGCAGGUAAAAGUACUUAAUUCUGCCUGGGGGCUGUGUUGUAUACACUCAGAUAUAACCUCAUUCAGACCAAUCUGAAUCAAGUGGAGGAAAAAAAAUCCAUUUUUUUAAGGCUUAAAACUUGUACUUACUCGGAAGUUGCAAACUGGGAAAUGGUCUUAAUUCCUGCAUCUGUAAAAUGGAAAUAUUGAUCUAGCUGGUUCAGAGAUUUUGAAGCUGAAUCACAUUACAGGUCUCUGUCAAGCUACUAUGGAAAAACCAAUGGGAAAAGAAUCAGUCUAUUUGUGGUGAUCUGCAGGUUGCCCAAUGAGAGCUUUGACCUCUUCAGAGUCAACGUGGCAAGACAACAAAAAGCUGAAUGGUGUGAGAAUGUCUCAUAAGGAACACAUGACUGCCUCUUGGCUAUCAAGAAACCUCACUCUGCAGAACAUUAUGGUGAUGAUCACAACUACUGGAGAACACUGAUGACAGCUAUUUUCCAUUCAAUCAUUUGGAAAAAAAAGGACUCCUGACAAAUUGAUCACACAGUUCUGCCACUUACUAGUCUUCCCCCUGCAUGUUGAUGCCUAACUGGGAGGGACAUUUCCAGCCCCAUUUCCAGGUGUUGGAAGUCUUUGCUGAGGUCAGUGCAUUCAGCAAGAUUUGUGCAACCCCAAGACAUCAAAGAGAAAUAUCUUGCUAUCCCAGGAUGGACUAGGAGGCGUUGGCUUCUUGGAGUAGGAAGUAACCACAGUUGAAAAUUCUCUAAUAUACAUACAAAUGAGGUCAUAAAAAUUGGGGACAUUUAGAAAAUAUUCAGGAUGAAAUUGACAUGUUUAGCUCCAAAGAUUUCUACACCUGAAAAUUAUAUCAUGCUGAUGACACCAUGUGACAUAAAGCAAUAAAUAAAGGCGCUGAAGGACACUUGCCCUUGGUGGAGAGAUGCCAUCUCUUGUCAGUUAGGCAGUCAGCCAGCCUGUCAACAACAUUUAUUGAGUACCUAACGAGAGAAGGGCCAUGUGACGGAGAGGAGAUAUGGGCUCCGGCCUUGAGGGAAAUCCACAGAUUUGUGGCAACCCUGCAUUGAGCAAGUCUGUUGACUCUAUUUUUCCAAUAGCCUGUGUCACAUUUGAUUAAGAGCCCUGGCAAAGUGAAGAGGGUGACCUUAUGCCCAUGGGUGAGGGCGACCUGAGCGAGGGAGGAGGAGCUGAGAGAGGAGCACUGGCACUGGGAGUUAACCCAGCAGGGUGCAGAAGGAUCCCAUCCAACUGGAACUUGGAUUGCUGAGAAAUAACAGGUGCCUACAAUGAGAGAUGAAGUGAGAACAUUUUCUUACCUGGGACAGAUGCAGCUGGAUACUGAAUGAAGUCAGCCUAACUAUUGAAGUCCUCCCAUGGACCAAGUACUUCAAGCAUGUGUUCCUUUCCUGGCAGCCUGAAUACCAUUAAAUUCUCUAGAAUAGAUCCCUGCAUUUUGGGAUGUUAGGUGAGGAAUGGAGAAAUGUGGGCUAGCUGGUAGAAGCUCAAGUCCAAAGUACCCCUUCAAUCAUAUUGUAAAAAUAUAUG